AGUAUGAGACUACCGGUCUCUGCGUGAUGACGGUGAAAAGGAACACAGCAACACGACCCGUCCCAAUUACGCAGACCGUCCAGGGUCCACCCCCGUCCUCUCCGAUCGCCGCCGCCGGGACCCUACAGCCGGCCCGCCAUGGCUGAUCCGCCAUCCCUAGCCUCCACCGCAACGCCGCAGCCCGACCAGCUCGCCACCUCUGCUUCCAUCCCGCAGAACGCCAACCCCCAAAUCCCCCUGCCCCCCAUCGUUUCCUCCGCGCAGGUCAACCCGGGCUCGGCUGCUACGGGAGGCAGAUCCACGGACCCGCCGCAGUUGCAGGCGCCUUCUCCCACGCAGGCGGCUGAAGGAGCCGGAGGAUUCGGUGCGAUCCACCGCUCAGGCCCGGCCUCCCUCGCCCCCACCGUCGGCCAGCCUCCACGGUACGCGACAGUCGGCACGACAUAUGGCACGCAGAUGGCCUUCCCGGGCGGCGGGGGGCAGUUGGGCCAGCAGCCGGGGCUGCGCGCGGCCAUGUUUGGACAGGGGCAGCCGAGGAUGCUGCAAGGGCAGGGCAACGCAGCCUCCGCGGCGCAGUACGGGCUCCAGUUCCAGCCAACGAUGAUGGCGCAGCCAGGGCAGAGGGGCGUGGUACAAGGCGUGCAAUUCAACACUCCCACUGCACAAGCGCAAUCCAUGGGUGCUUCCCUGAUGAACCAGAUGAGGCCUAAUGGAAUUGCUACCCCAUAUGGUGCUCAAACUCAGCAACGUUCUGCAUAUCAUGCACAAAUGAGGCCACAGCAGCCACCUGGAUCAUCACAAAAUGGGCCUGUGGUGCAAAUGUUACCAACGCAUCAGAUGCAAUCGUCAAUGGCCUCGGCUGUUUCUCCACAUCAACGCCAGCAAGAACAAAUGAUGCAACUGAUACAACAACUUCAGCAGAGAGGAUUGAAUCGCCAGCAGAUUGCGCAGGCGCUGCAGCGGCUUCCCCAUCUUAAUGCCCAACAUUUGAACCAGCAGCAACGGCAACAACAGCAAGCAUCUCCCAGGAUGCCAGCAUCUGCUGCAGGGAAGCCCGCAAACACGGCAGGAUUGCAGCCAGCGACACCUUCCUCAGGCGGAACAGCGGCGGGUGCAAAUGCGCCGCAUCAAGGAGGGGGAAAUUGCAGCCAACUUCUUGGGAAGAGAAAGAUACAUGAUUUGGUGGCGCAGGUGGAUCCACUCUGCGAGGUUGAUCCAGAGGUGGAAGAUUUGAUUCUGGAGAUUGCCGACGACUUCAUUAACACAGCGGCUGAUUUUGCGUGCAGGCUUGCAAAGCACAGGAAAUCAUCGGUUGUGGAAGCCAAGGAUGUGCUACUGCACCUGCAGAAGAAUUGUCACCUGUCCGCUCCUGGUUUCUCACAGGAGAGGAUGUGAAUGAAUCUGCAGAGAAAUUCAGUGUAGGCUUUGGUACAAUUAUGUCAUUUACUUUGAAAAGCGUGAAUUGUAUUUGAGAUAGAUAGUUAUACCAUUAUAGGUAAAUUGCUGAAAAAGAUAGAUCGAUAUACCUCUCAUUAGUCAUGGACUCAUAGUAUGUGUUUGUGCGUAGAUGGAGCACAUGUAUAUGGUCCCACGUACCUGACGACAUACACUGUGUACAUUGCCAUCUGACAUUUUUGUACACCAUAGAAACCCAGCCGUUCCACCCAGUAAUGCGUGGCUCUUCAUCAGCGGCGAAAUUGUUGUAGGGUGAAACCUUAAGAGGGAUCUUUUCACACUUGGAACACAAGAGAAAAAUUUACUUAAACAAAACCCAAUUACACAUCCACUAGAUAGCAAACACAUAGAUCCACAAGAAUACAAGCACAAUCCAAGGAAUCAAG
This 1841-nucleotide ribosomal RNA is filed under the name Triticum aestivum (bread wheat). Its description in RNAcentral is "partial small subunit ribosomal RNA". Lineage: Eukaryota; Viridiplantae; Streptophyta; Magnoliopsida; Poales; Poaceae. The record is from RNAcentral.